AUUGAACGCUGGCGGCAUGCUUUACACAUGCAAGUCGAACGGCAGCGCGGGCUUCGGCCUGGCAGCGAGUGGCGAACGGGUGAGUAAUGCAUCGGAACGUGCCCAGUAGUGGGGGAUAGCCCGGCGAAAGCCGGAUUAAUACCGCAUACGACCUGAGGGUGAAAGCGGGGGACCGAAAGGCCUCGCGCUAUUGGAGCGGCCGAUGUCGGAUUAGCUAGUUGGUGGGGUAAAGGCUUACCAAGGCGACGAUCCGUAGCUGGUCUGAGAGGACGACCAGUCACCGGGGAAUGGCAACGCGCCCAGACCCACCGGGGGAGGCGCCGGGGGGGAUUUGGGAAAAAGGGGGCCAACCUGGAACCCGCCUUCCGGGGGGGGGAAAGAGGCCGGGCGGUUUGAAAGCGGUUUUUGUGGGGAAAAAACCCCUCGGGCCAAAUACCGGGGGGGGAUGCGGGGACGGAAAAAAAAAACACCGCCAAACUACGCC
Molecule: ribosomal RNA, 484 nt
Filed under: uncultured bacterium
Lineage: Bacteria
Description: partial 16S ribosomal RNA
Rfam family: Bacterial small subunit ribosomal RNA
Source: RNAcentral